This 1134-nucleotide ribosomal RNA is filed under the name alpha proteobacterium SCGC AB-629-G21. RNAcentral's name for it is "bacterial LSU rRNA". It matches the Rfam family "Bacterial large subunit ribosomal RNA", at positions 1005 to 2242 of the family's 2925-position model. The record is from RNAcentral. Lineage: Bacteria; Pseudomonadati; Pseudomonadota; Alphaproteobacteria.
CCAUAGUCGAGAGGGGAACAGCCCAGAUCACCAGAUAAGGUCCCUAAAUCAUGAUUAAGUGUGAAAGGAUGUGGAGAUUCCAUAACAGCCGGGAGGUUGGCUUAGAAGCAGCCAUCCUUUAAAGAUAGCGUAACAGCUCACCGGUCUAAUAGAGUUUCUGCGCCUAAGAUGUAACGGGGCUCAAAUCAUGUACCGAAUCUGUGGGUGUAUAAAGUUUUCGAAUUUUAUACGCGGUAGCGGAACGUUCUGUAAGCCUGCGAAGGAAUACCCGUGAGGGAUUCUGGAGGUAUCAGAAGUGCGAAUGCUGACAUAAGUAACGAUUAACAGAGUGAAAAACUCUGUCGCCGAAAAUCCAAGGGUUCCUGCGCAAGGCUAAUCCGCGCAGGGUUAGUCGGCCCCUAAGACGAGGGCGAAAGCCGUAGUCGAUGGGAACCAGGUUAAUAUUCCUGGACCAGAUGGUAGUGACGGAUUUUGUAAAUUGUUAACUCUUAAUGGAUUGAGUUAGCUGUGAAAAAGUCCCAGGAAAUAGCUCCAUCAUAAGACCGUACCCGAAACCGACACAGGUGGAUUAUUAGAGUAUAAUUAGGCGCUUGAGAGAAUGAUGUUGAAGGAACUCGGCAAAAUGCCUCUGUAACUUCGGAAGAAAGAGGACCUAUUUUUGGGCAACCAUUAGUAGGUGGCACAAGCCAGGGAGAAGCGACUGUUUAUCAAAAACACAGGACUCUGCUAACACGUAAGUGGAUGUAUAGGGUCUGACGCCUGCCCGGUGCUGGAAGGUUAAUGCGAUGGGUGCAAGCUCAUUUCUGAAGCCCCAGUGAACGGCGGCCGUAACUAUAACGGUCCUAAGGUAGCGAAAUUCCUUGUCGGGUAAGUUCCGACCUGCAUGAAUGGCGUAACGAUUUCUCCGCUGUCUCCAACAUCAACUCAGUGAAAUUGAAUUCUCCGUGAAGAUGCGGAGUUCGCGUGGUUAGACGGAAAGACCCCGUGCACCUUUACUACAACUUUAUAUUGGUAUUAGAAAUGACAUGUUUAACUUAGGAGGGAGACUUUGAAGCGGUGGCGCCAGCUAUCGUGGAGUCGUCAGUGAAAUACCUCUCUUGUUAUUUUUGAUAUCUAACUGUCAGCCGUUAUCCG